Molecule: ribosomal RNA, 301 nt
Filed under: uncultured bacterium
Lineage: Bacteria
Description: partial 16S ribosomal RNA
Rfam family: Bacterial small subunit ribosomal RNA
Source: RNAcentral
CAGUCGCCACGGGAAUACAGAGGGUGCAAGCGUUAAUCGGAGUUACUGGGCGUAAAGCGCGCGUAGGUGGUUUGUUAAGUUGGAUGUGAAAUCCCCGGGCUCAACCUGGGAACUGCAUCCAAAACUGGCAGGCUAGAGUAGGGCAGAGGGUGGUGGAAUUUCCUGUGUAGCGGUGAAAUGCGUAGAUAUAGGAAGGAACACCAGUGGCGAAGGCGACCACCUGGGCUCAUACUGACACUGAGGUGCGAAAGCGUGGGGAGCAAACAGGAUUAGAUACCCCAGUAGUCCCUGUCUCUUAUAC